AUGUUCGCGACAUCAAGGAGCCAUCGGCAGCUCUUGGCUUUGAUGUGUCACGCAACCAGUAUGUUGUGGCCAGGUACUUCUACAAGUACUUUGAACAUAAUACUUCUAGUGGAGUUCUCAGUUACGAGAUCGGGCAUGAAGUCUUCACACUCGGUGGGGACUCCUGGAUGCGUACCGAUGAACUACCAGAUGCAAUUGGCCACACACGACCAGUCUUCACACGGGGGCCUUCUACUGGGGGACUUAUGCACCCCAUGA
Molecule: ribosomal RNA, 258 nt
Filed under: Triticum aestivum (bread wheat)
Lineage: Eukaryota; Viridiplantae; Streptophyta; Magnoliopsida; Poales; Poaceae
Description: partial small subunit ribosomal RNA
Source: RNAcentral